CGUUCAAGAUAAGCCAUGGCACGUCUAAGUACAACUAAAUGGAUGGUGAACUGCAAGGCUCAUUACAACGGUUAUGAUGUACCCGGGAGUUCCGAAGGAUAUUUCCAGUAACACUAGAACUAAUACAUCGUCCCCGCGUUUAUUAGUUUCGCACAGUCCGUCGCUGAGUCAUGGUAAACAGUUUGAUCGACUCGACGUCCCGGAAACAGUUUCCGCCCCCAUCAGCUUCGAUGGUUGGGUAUUUGGCCUACCAUUUGCAACAACGGGUAACGAGGAAUUAGGGUUUGAUUUCGGAGAGGGAGCCUGAGAAACGGCUACCACAUCUACGGAUGGCAGCAGGCGCGCAAAUUACCCAAUGCAGACACUGUGAGGUAGUGACGAGAAAUAAUAAAGCGGGACUUCUGUUUCGCUAUUAUAAUGAGGAAUAACCAAAGGUCAUUCCGAUUAGCAACUGAUGGGAAAGUCUGGUGCCAGCAGCCGCGGUAAUACCAGCGUCAGUA
This 500-nucleotide ribosomal RNA is filed under the name uncultured Myrionecta. Its description in RNAcentral is "bacterial SSU rRNA". It matches the Rfam family "Eukaryotic small subunit ribosomal RNA", at positions 35 to 596 of the family's 1831-position model. Lineage: Eukaryota; Ciliophora; Litostomatea; Cyclotrichida; Mesodiniidae. The record is from RNAcentral.